This 1278-nucleotide ribosomal RNA is filed under the name Conger myriaster (whitespotted conger). RNAcentral describes it as "partial 16S ribosomal RNA". It matches the Rfam family "Bacterial large subunit ribosomal RNA", at positions 690 to 2605 of the family's 2925-position model. Lineage: Eukaryota; Metazoa; Chordata; Actinopteri; Anguilliformes; Congridae. The record is from RNAcentral.
AGGCAAGAAGCAUCAUAGUCUGAGACCCCGAAACUAGACGAGCUACUCCGAAGCAGUCUAAAAGGACUAACCCGUCUCUGUGGCAAAAGAGUGGGAAGACUUCCGAGUAGAGGUGAAAAGCCUACCGAGCCUAGUUAUAGCUGGUUGCUUAAGAAAAGAAUAUGAGUUCAGCCUUAUAAGUUUCUCAAAAAUCAAAAUGAAAGAAUAAAGUAACACAUAAGAGUUAGUCGAAGGGGGUACAGCUCCUUCGAAAAAGAACACAACCUUACCCAGGUAAAUAAGGAUUAUACUAAAAAAGGACAUGACUUUCAACAGUGGGCCCGAAAGCAGCCACCUAUAAUAGAAAGCGUUAAAGCUCAAGAACAGCCACACCAAAAAUAAAAAUAACCACUCCUAAUUUCCUAAUAAUAUUAAGCUACCCUAUUUUAUAGGAGAAAUUAUGCUAAAAUGAGUAAUAAGAGAAACUAGACCCUCUCCGGGCACACGUGUAAAUUAGAGCGGACAAACCACUGACAACUAACGGACCCAAAAAAGAGGGUAAAACAACAAAACUCAAUAAACAAGAAAAACCUAUUAAAACAACCGUUAACCCAACACAGGAGUGCCACUUAAGGAAAGACUAAAAGGGGAAGAAGGAACUCGGCAAACACAAACCUCGCCUGUUUACCAAAAACACCGCCUCCUGCAAAUAGAAUGUAUUGGAGGUCCUGCCUGCCCAGUGACAAUAGGUUCAACGGCCGCGGUAUUUUGACCGUGCAAAGGUAGCGUAAUCACCUGUCUUUUAAAUAAAGACCUGUAUGAAUGGCAAGACGAGGGUUUUACUGUCUCCUCCCCCCAGUCAAUGAAAUUGAUCUACCCGUGCAGAAGCGGGUAUAAAAACAUAAGACGAGAAGACCCUAUGGAGCUUUAGGCACACAUCAAAUAUGUAAAAAACCAAAUCUUCCAAAUAGGCCUAAAAAAUGAGAAAAACAAGUAUUAAUGAUUAAUUGCCUUCGGUUGGGGCGACCACGGGGAAAAAUAAAACCCCCACAUGGAAUGGGUAAAAUUAUCCUAAGCCAAGAAAAACAAUUCUAAGCAACAAAAUUUUUGACCAAUAAACGACCCAGGGACAACAUCCCUGAGCAAUGAACCAAGUUACCCUAGGGAUAACAGCGCAAUCCUUUCCCAGAGCCCAUAUCAACGAAAGGGUUUACGACCUCGAUGUUGGAUCAGGGCAUCCUAACGGUGCAGCCGCUGUUAAGGGUUCGUUUGUUCAACGAUUAAUAGCCCUACGUGAUC